AUGCAGUUUUCCAAGAGCCAUUUGAUCUCCAAGAUGUUAUGUGAGUGUCUUUUGUAUUUUAUUUUUUCCCUUAGAAAAGAAAAGCUGAUGGUUUGCCAAAAGAAAAUGAACUCCAAACUCUCGGGGUCUGAACUGGGUUCAAGCAUCAGAUCCAGGGAAGCUCAGGGGUUGCUGUUGAGUCAGGGGCCUCAAAUGUUCUCUGCACAAGCCAGGAUUGCUCCAGGAAACGGGAGGACAUCAGCCCCCAGAGAGGAAACAUCACAGGCAGUUGCUGUCAGACAAGAGGGGUAAGCAGAAAGCCCUUUUGGCACAGGGGAGGCACAGCCCCUCCUUCAGAAGGCCCAGAUGGGAGUGGC
Molecule: long non-coding RNA, 356 nt
Filed under: Rhinopithecus bieti (black snub-nosed monkey)
Lineage: Eukaryota; Metazoa; Chordata; Mammalia; Primates; Cercopithecidae
Description: lncRNA (ENSRBIG00000046634.1)
Source: RNAcentral